This 799-nucleotide long non-coding RNA is filed under the name Fukomys damarensis (Damara mole-rat). RNAcentral describes it as "lncRNA (ENSFDAG00000031899.1)". Lineage: Eukaryota; Metazoa; Chordata; Mammalia; Rodentia; Bathyergidae. The record is from RNAcentral.
GUACAAUUCAGAAGUAAACUAUGAUCCAGCUGGAACAAAGAAAGCCACAACAGUAAAGGGACUUUCUCUGGAGCUAUUGGGAAAGAAACUCUAUCUUCUCUGUGCUCUUCAACCUCAGAAGGCACAAUUUUAGAAUAGAUCAAGGCCUAAGAGUUAACAGAGAGAAAGGUAGAGCUUGAAUAAUUAAGAGACAAACUGCUGAAAGUGGUAAACAUGUGAUUUAGCUAAACCUGAAACAAGUAAAGAGGAAAGAAAGAAAGGAAAAGGAAAAAAAUGAAAUGAAAGAAAAGUGAGAAACCCAAAGUUCUUGUACAUCACACUUUUGUGAUUUUUUUAAUCUAAAAACUCAGACCAGCAAUCCAUCAGUGUCUCAGGAGAACUGGCCUUACCGAUCCUGACCUGUGUUCUCUUACUUGGAAAUAAGGUAAUUCCUUAAAAAGGUCAGCUGUCAUCAGAAAUAUGAAGAGCAUCCUGAGACAACAUGGCUGGGGAGACUGGAUCUGCGUCCUUGGUUUUCCAUCUUAAAAGAAUAUGACACCAAAAAGAAAAGGAACACCAGCGAGGAAGGUGAGAUUUGGGAAGACCGCUCCGAGAUCUGCUCUCCCUCCGGCCUGCUUGGGUCCAUUCAGCAGGACCAGGUAGCUGCAGCACCCUCCCCUGCCUGCACACCACCAGCCCUAGCGACAAAGGCAAUAUUUAGGAUGCUAUAGUUUUGAUAUGAGUUAUCCACAUCACAAGUCAUACUGAAAUUUGAUUCCCAAGGUAAGUGGUAAGAGGGGAGUCAAGCCUUUAAGAGACG